Molecule: ribosomal RNA, 519 nt
Filed under: uncultured bacterium
Lineage: Bacteria
Description: bacterial SSU rRNA
Rfam family: Bacterial small subunit ribosomal RNA
Source: RNAcentral
AGAAUUGAUCUGGUUCAGGACGAACGCUGGCGGCGCGUCUUAAGCAUGCAAGUCGAACGGCAAGAGGUAGCAAUACCUCCUAGAGUGGCGGACUGGUGAGUAACACGUGGGUGACAUACCCUUCAGAUGGGGAUAGCUAUUAGAAAUAGUAGAUAAUACCGAAUACGAGCACAGGGGUUAGAGAUCUGUGAGGAAAGGAGCUAAGGCUCCGCUGAAGGAAUGGCCUGCGGCCCAUUAGCUAGUUGGUGAGGUAAGAGCCCACCAAGGCGAUGAUGGGUAUCCGGCCUUAGAGGGUGAACGGACACAUUGGGACUGAGAUACGGCCCAGACUCCUACGGGAGGCAGCAGCUAAGAAUAUUCCGCAAUGGACGAAAGUCUGACGGAGCGACGCCGCGUGGAUGAAGAAGGCCGGAAGGUUGUAAAAUCCUUUUGAAACUGAAGAAUAAGCGUUGUAGGGAAUGACAGCGUGGUGACAGUAGGUUUUGAAUAAGCAACGGCUAAUUACGUGCCAGCCGCUGC